Molecule: long non-coding RNA, 2683 nt
Organism: Psammomys obesus (fat sand rat)
Lineage: Eukaryota; Metazoa; Chordata; Mammalia; Rodentia; Muridae
Exons: 2
Source: RefSeq, a predicted model, not a curated record
UCCAGGUGCCCACGGAGUAAUCACCCAGGUCGAGGCUGACAUCGAUUCGUCUUUUCCACUCACCCUCCCUGACGACUGGAAUCAUAACAGGGCAGAAGGUAAGGAGAGUCUCCCAAGUUUACCGCCAGGUUCUCAGGGGGUGCUUCCAAAAAUUUAAACAAAGUUAAACAGGGAAAAGAUAGUCUGGCCACCUUCCUGGAAAGUUUGCUAGAGGCAUACCGCAUACCUCUAUAAGUCUUUUGACCCCACUGCUCAAGAGAACCAGACUGCCAUCACCAUGGACUUUUGUCAACCAGUCUUCAUUGGAUCUACACAAAAAGCUUCAAAAUGGACAACUGACUUGGACCAGGCUGCUGCAAGGGCUCAAAAAUUUGCCCUCCAUCUUCGCUGAAGCAUUACAUGAGGACUUGGGUGAGUACAGGCAUGCCCACCCAACAUUACUCUUUUUACAGUAUGUGGAUGACCUACCUAGUGGCUGCUUCAGAUUUAGACGCCUGUCAUCAAGCUGUGACAGACCUGCUGCAAGAUCUGGCCAGUCUGGGUAUCGACUAUGAAAGCUCAGCUCUGCCUUAAGGAGCCCAUCCUUAGCACUCAACACAGCCACCCUUUUGCCAGAUCCAGCAUGAGCGCUCCAUCGUGCUACAACAUCCAAAAUCUGACUGGAUCUGACUUACAUCCCACGGCCAGACGAAGCUUGAGUCCUCUUCACCGACGGGAGCAGCUUUGUCCAAGACGGCACCAGGCCUUAAGAGACCAGCAUCACUGAGGUGAAAUCUCCUGGGAAGUGUUUUUCUCAGUCAGCACAUAGAAGCUGUAUUCCAGAACUGGGUGAGGAUGUGCCUCAUGCUGGCAUUUGAACUUGGUUGUGUAAGAGUCACCCAGGUGGUACUGGUUUGGAAGGCGGUACUGGUUUGGAAGGCACGAGGGAGUCAUGGAGAGCAGCUGAGGCUUGGCACCAGGAAAAAAGCCUAUGAGAGGCUGUUGGUGAAAGAGCAGCCCAGUUGCAGCAGAAGACCCUGGUGUUUUGGAGAUGCCAGUGCUAUGGAUGACCACCGAGAACAGCAGCAGCAGUGGAGGGAAGCCAGCUGGAGCCUAGAAGACAAACUGCAUGUGCUGCAGAGGGCAGGCUGGGCAAGUGACCAGAGUCCUUUGGAAGAGUCCAGGAGGCCGUGAAUGGAUCCCGGACAUUGGGCAAUUGGAGCUGAUAAGGACUUGCUCAACAGCUUCUCCAUAAUGGUCACCAGGAUACUCACCUGGGCCAAAGGAAAAUCAAAGACUUAUUAAGGAGGGGCAAAUAUAAGAUUUCUCACCUAGGUUGAUAAAAUCAUCUUAUUGUCCUGUAUGCCAGGCUGUCAAUGUCACUGGCUCAAAUCGAGGACUCACCAGGACUAGGGUAAGAGGCCAAUGCCCAGGAGCCCAAUUGGGAAAUAGAUUAGACUGAAAUAAAGCUAGGAAUGUAUGGCUAUAAGUACUUGCCAGUCUUUAUAGAUACCUUCUCAGGAUGCGUAGAGGCUUUCUCCACCAAGAAGGAAACUGCCAAUGUAGUGGCCAAGAGAAGAUGCUGGAAGACAUCCUAUGCAGGUAUGGAUUACCCACUCUCAGAGGGUCAGACAAUGGACCAGCUUUCAUCUCUCAGGUAACCCAGGGCCUAAUAAAAUAUGUUGGGGAUAAAUUGGAAACUUGAUUGUGCUGCUCAUCCCCAAAGUCCAGGUCAGGUAGAGAGAAUGAAUUGGACCCUAAAGGAGGCACUAACCAAAUUGACCCUUGAAACUGGCGGUAACUGAGCGGCCCUCCUUCCAUAUGCAUUGUACAAAGCAAAAAAUACAUCUUGUACUUUGGCUCUCUCUCCCUUUGAGAUCCUCUAUAGAGACCCCUCCCCUUCCUCCCAAUCUUCAGUCUGAGAUUCUUGCUGAAUGUGAUAGCCAAAAAUUUUUAGAAUCCCUACCAAGCAUUGCAUAAGACUCAGAAGAGUCUCUGGCCUUUCAAGAAAGAUUUGUGUCCAUUUCACCUCCUAACCCACAUUGCUUUGAACCAGGUGACAAGGUCUGGAUUAGGAGACAUAACCAUAAAGAUUUUGGAGCCAUGCUGGAAGGGACCUCACACAGCGAUCCUGAACACACCAACACAGUGCUGGCUGAGGAAGUCUGCAAAAAAGUGGGCAAGCAAGCAGAAGCUGGAGUCAGACACCCCUACUGCCAGCCCUGGCUGUGAAUGACCAGACGAUUGGGCUUCCCAACUUUUUAGGCACCACUGAGAGGCGCUGGCAAAGAGUCCUUGUCUUUUUGGUGUGGGAUGUGAGACUGAUUCAGAUGGUCCACAGCAUCAGACUAUUUGCUUCGUGCAGAACUCUUCACCAGCUACAGAGUUUAAAUCUGAGGACUCUGGAGAGAGGAUAAAUGCCAGAGUCAGAGUGGAGCUCCAAGAAAGAACAAGGCUGCUCCUCAUUUUCCCUUGCUGCUCCUAGUUGCUGUUGUGAAACAAAUUGAAGCUCUCCUGAAACAAGGAUUGGACUGGCUCCAAGGAACCCAACAACGACCCUAACCAGCAGGAAGCAGCUCAGAAAGAACUACGCCCCCUCUCCUACUAACCCUUUCUCUCUUCUACCUGGUGUUGGGGUGUGUUGGAAGGGAUUGGGGUGGAGUAGGGAGAAAAAAAUGCAAAUAAAGGUGUAUUUUUAAGUACA